Molecule: ribosomal RNA, 266 nt
Filed under: uncultured archaeon
Lineage: Archaea
Description: partial 16S ribosomal RNA
Rfam family: Archaeal small subunit ribosomal RNA
Source: RNAcentral
ACACGACUACAUUAGAUACCCGUGUAGUCCUAGCCGUAAACGAUACUCGCUAGGUGUCGGCCACGGUGCGACCGUUGUCGGUGCCGUAGGGAAGCCGUGAAGCGAGCCACCUGGGGAGUACGGCCGCAAGGCUGAAACUUAAAGGAAUUGGCGGGGGAGCACAACAACGGGUGGAGCUUGCGGUUUAAUUGGAUUCAACGCCGGAAAUCUUACCGGGACCGACAGCAACAUGAAGGCCAAGCUGAAGACUUUGCCGGAUUUAGCUG